RNAcentral lists this long non-coding RNA (1298 nucleotides) under Felis catus (domestic cat). Its description in RNAcentral is "lncRNA (ENSFCAG00000051151.1)". The record is from RNAcentral. Lineage: Eukaryota; Metazoa; Chordata; Mammalia; Carnivora; Felidae.
GUGAGAUUUCGCAGGAUGCUCUGAGCAUCUGGCAAGCCCUCCUGGCAGGCAGGUCUGGCCCCCACCCUCCCCUCCUGCCCUCCCAGCCCCCACCCAGACCAGACUUCACUCCACGGUCAUCCUCCUUCACACCUCCACUUUGACCCUCCCUCUGGGAACUUUUGUUGUUUUACAGACACGGUUAAGGGGAUUUCUCUAGAAUUCAUAAUCUGUUAGCAGACUGCCGUUUGCAGAUGGCAUUGGAAGUUUUAGAGGGUGGAGGACAAAGUCCCGGAAGGAAGAAACCUCAGACAAAAGUCAUGAAAUCAAGUUGUUAAAUCUGUGGGAAAACUGAGGCUUAACAAGGUAAAUGUCUUACUCAAAGUCACAAGACGAAUUUUGUUACAGUUCCAAUGUUCGCUUUUCUUCUUCGUCUCCAAGCACCCGCAGCUCCUGCCAUGUAGUAAGUGAUCAUUAAAUGAUUGCUGAGAGAAGCAAUGGACAAUGGACGAACUCGUGGGCGAGGGAAAAGAAGAACCCAGGACCUCUGGGCAGGAAAGAGAGAAGGAGAGAAGGAUGCACAAGAUACGAUUUAAAACUGUGCCCCCCAAGACUGGAGGAGUCCAUCUCAGGUUGGGCAGGGAUAAAACAAGACAAAAUCAGGAGAUAAGUCUUGGCCUCAUCCAAAACAAAGGGCUUACCAAACAAGAAUCUCUUGUCUCAAGGGAGGGUUGGUCAGAAAACCUUGCCGGGGCCUUAAAGUAGGGGCCCCCAACUCAAAUACCCACAAGGACCCGGUGAAGAGUGUACAUGGGCAAAAAAGCUAUUGUGGGACAAUAGGGAGUGGUAGUCUGUGGCAAACCAGAGCAAGCACACCCCAUCAAGAGGAGCCCUCCUAAGCUUCAGUCCCUGGUUGUCGUGCAGAAACACGGGACCCAACAUUGCCAAGCACUCUGAUUUUCUACAUAAUUUUGAAAUUCUGGAUUUUAUGAGAAAUGUCCAGAUUUGCAAAUCUGGGAAAUUCAUCCCGUUAAAAAAAACAACAACAACAACAACAACAAAAACACAACAAAAACAAAGGGUGGGGCACCUGGGUGGCUCAGUCGGUUAAGUGACUGACUCUUGAUUUCAGCUCAGGUCAUGAUUUCGCGGUUUGUGGGUUCGAGCCCCACGUAGGGCUCUGCCUGUCAGCACGGAGUCCGCUUGGGAUUCUCUUUCUCCCUCUCUCUGCUGCUCUCCCAUGUGCACGUGCUCUUUCUCUCUUUCUCUCUCUCAAAAGUAAGUAAACACUUAAAAAUAAAAAAGCGAAGGUCGCAACA